GUUAAUCAACUAUACUCCAAUGUAAAAUAAAAAAGUUUUUAAAAAGUGUCCUUUUAAAAAAAAAAAAGUCCUUUACUAUUAUUAAAAGCAACAACAGAGACUUGCUGCUCUGCUGCCCGGCCCUUGUAUUCUGGUCACCAGCCCUCUUUUCACAAGGAGUUGGAGAGAAAUUAUUGAAAAGAGAGCCUAAAAUUCUACUUAGAGUUUUAAAGUCCGGAGAUCUAUUUUCAGCACUAGGAUUGUAUUAAUAGAUACCGGUUUCCAGCUAAGCUCAUUUAAGAUGGAAGAGAUUCUGUGAUUUUCCUUCCACCCCAGUUGUCAACGGGCUUUGCUGUUCCACAGGGUUCUGCUGAAGGAGCCCUACAGUGACCCGGGCCCCUCCCACAAGGGCACGUUCCCCCACCCCACCCCACCCCAGACGCGCCCCCUCGGCCUGAGUGACGUCAGCUGCUGCUCCAGCCGGAGCCCCAGAGCCCGGAAAACGACCAUCCCCUUAGGAAGCGCCAGCCCCGAGUAUGGGGGACACGGGGCCCAAGACUCAAUUUAAGAAGCUCUGAGGUCCCCAAAGUCGGCUGCAAGGAAAGGAAAUCAGAGCAGGAAAGUGCAAGUAAGAGGAAGUUGGCAGCAAGGUAACUAAAUUGUUACCACUUUAAGUGGAAAAAAAAGAAAGAAGGGCUUAAAUUGGAAGGGUGGUGUCACAUGGACCCAAGACAAAUACUGCUAAAGAAUGGAAGUGUCUGUUUUCAUUUUGCCAGAGAUUCCAAAUGUGAUUAUAUGUAAACGAAUGCAAACCCUUCCCACCUUCAGCAAGGGUGAAGGGUGGAUUUCUAGGAGAAAUGCCUUUGUUGCCUUUGUUGGGUCAGAGAGGAGCCUGAAGGGGAGAGAGGCUCAGGUCAGCAGGGUCGAUGUGUUGCAGGAAAGAGAGCGGAGCGGAGCGCAAAAGGAUGGUCACAUCCCAGGUCUCAGUGUUUCUUCAAAAAUCUUCCACAUGGACGCCUGGCAGAUGCACUCGACGGCACGCAGGCCCCUUAAGAUGCGGGGCAAGAUGGACGAGCCUCCUUUUCUUAUAUCCUCAGGAGCCCUGUCAACACUGCAGGUGUCAUGACUCAGCGUAAUGAGGAUGAAGAUCAUGACAUAUAAUAAAAUGUAGAGCCAACUCAGACCAAGAUUUUUAAUAAGGCAGGAGCUUGGUUUCACACAUUUCUUCUUCUGCUUUAGUAUCUGGCCCAGAACCUGCAAAAUAAUCUCUCCUCGCAAAGUGCCAUGUGGUAAUUAGUGACUGUAGCAUGCUGUCUUUUCCUUUGCUAAAAAUGCCCCAAACUGUUUUGUUUUCUCUCUUGCCUGGGUAUUCUUAAUGAUCGUUCCUAUAUGUGCCUCUGUUUCUCAUCUGUUAUUUCUCCCCAAGUGUCCCAAGGAAGUGGGCUUAACAAUAGGCAUGUUAGGAUGAGCCCGAGGAGGUGAGUAUUGUUUCCACAGCUCUGCAGCCACUGCAUUGUUCUUACAAAGCAUCAAGGUGGAAUAGAACGACUCACUUGGAAGACCUCAGUUGGGCCAGCUGUACCACUACCUCAUGCAA
Long non-coding RNA from Aethalodelphis obliquidens (Pacific white-sided dolphin), 1576 nucleotides. RefSeq lists it as uncharacterized. NCBI's taxonomy places the organism in Eukaryota, Metazoa, Chordata, Mammalia, Artiodactyla, Delphinidae. The record is from RefSeq and is a predicted model, not a curated record. The transcript is spliced from 2 exons.